RNAcentral lists this ribosomal RNA (659 nucleotides) under Bacillus licheniformis. RNAcentral describes it as "bacterial SSU rRNA". It matches the Rfam family "Bacterial small subunit ribosomal RNA", at positions 27 to 658 of the family's 1533-position model. The record is from RNAcentral. Lineage: Bacteria; Bacillati; Bacillota; Bacilli; Caryophanales; Bacillaceae.
GGACGAACGCUGGCGGCGUGCCUAAUACAUGCAAGUCGAGCGGACCGACGGGAGCUUGCUCCCUUAGGUCAGCGGCGGACGGGUGAGUAACACGUGGGUAACCUGCCUGUAAGACUGGGAUAACUCCGGGAAACCGGGGCUAAUACCGGAUGCUUGUUUGAACCGCAUGGUUCAAACAUAAAAGGUGGCUUUUCGCUACCACUUACAGAUGGACCCGCGGCGCAUUAGCUAGUUGGUGGGGUAACGGCUCACCAAGGCGACGAUGCGUAGCCGACCUGAGAGGGUGAUCGGCCACACUGGGACUGAGACACGGCCCAGACUCCUACGGGAGGCAGCAGUAGGGAAUCUUCCGCAAUGGACGAAAGUCUGACGGAGCAACGCCGCGUGAGUGAUGAAGGUUUUCGGAUCGUAAAACUCUGUUGUUAGGGAAGAACAAGUACCGUUCGAACAGGGCGGUACCUUGACGGUACCUAACCAGAAAGCCACGGCUAACUACGUGCCAGCAGCCGCGGUAAUACGUAGGUGGCAAGCGUUGUCCGGAAUUAUUGGGCGGUAAAGCGCCGCGCAGGGCGGUUCUUUAAGUCUGAUGGUGAAAAGCCCCCGGCUCAACCGGGGGGAGGGUUCAUUGGGAAACUGGGGAACUUUGGAUGCAGAAAAGG